CAGAGUAGGAUCAGGUGCGUUAAGUGCUGCAGGAUGGGAGUUGCCUGCAGACGAAAGCGGCCGGAUACCGGUUUGAUGACCGGCCGGGCUGCUGCGGUACCUCAUCCGCAUCCGCUGC
RNAcentral lists this non-coding RNA (118 nucleotides) under bovine gut metagenome. Its description in RNAcentral is "THF riboswitch". It matches the Rfam family "THF (Tetrahydrofolate) riboswitch aptamer". From Rfam's summary of the family: THF riboswitch presents a pseudoknot that joins P1-P2 and the loop of P3 and two THF binding. The record is from RNAcentral.